CAGCAGCCACGGUAAUACGUAGGUCCCGAGCGUUGUCCGGAUUUAUUGGGCGUAAAGGGAGCGCAGGCGGUUUAGUAAGUCUGAAGUUAAAGGCAUUGGCUCAACCAAUGUAUGCUUUGGAAACUGUUGGACUUGAGUGCAGAAGGGGAGAGUGGAAUUCCAUGUGUAGCGGUGAAAUGCGUAGAUAUAUGGAGGAACACCGGUGGCGAAAGCGGCUCUCUGGUCUGUCACUGACGCUGAGGCUCGAAAGCGUGGGUAGCGAACAGGAUUAGAUACCCCUGUAGUCCCUGUCUCUUAUACA
RNAcentral lists this ribosomal RNA (301 nucleotides) under uncultured bacterium. Its description in RNAcentral is "partial 16S ribosomal RNA". It matches the Rfam family "Bacterial small subunit ribosomal RNA", at positions 509 to 808 of the family's 1533-position model. The record is from RNAcentral.